RNAcentral lists this ribosomal RNA (544 nucleotides) under Arthrobacter subterraneus. Its description in RNAcentral is "bacterial SSU rRNA". It matches the Rfam family "Bacterial small subunit ribosomal RNA", at positions 359 to 917 of the family's 1533-position model. Lineage: Bacteria; Bacillati; Actinomycetota; Actinomycetes; Micrococcales; Micrococcaceae. The record is from RNAcentral.
ACGUGCUGCAUGGGCGCAGCCUGAUGCAGCGACGCCGCGUGAGGGAUGAAGGCCUUCGGGUUGUAAACCUCUUUCAGUAGGGAAGAAGCGAAAGUGACGGUACCUGCAGAAGAAGCGCCGGCUAACUACGUGCCAGCAGCCGCGGUAAUACGUAGGGCGCAAGCGUUAUCCGGAAUUAUUGGGCGUAAAGAGCUCGUAGGCGGUUUGUCGCGUCUGCCGUGAAAGUCCGGGGCUUAACUCCGGAUCUGCGGUGGGUACGGGCAGACUUGAGUGAUGUAGGGGAGACUGGAAUUCCUGGUGUAGCGGUGAAAUGCGCAAAUAUCAGGAGGAACACCGAUGGCGAAGGCAGGUCUCUGGGCAUUAACUGACGCUGAGGAGCGAAAGCAUGGGGAGCGAACAGGAUUAGAUACCCUGGUAGUCCAUGCCGUAAACGUUGGGCACUAGGUGUGGGGGACAUUCCACGUUUUCCGCGCCGUAGCUAACGCAUUAAGUGCCCCGCCUGGGGAGUACGGCCGCAAGGCUAAAACUCAAUGAAAUUGACGGA